Molecule: transfer RNA, 66 nt
Filed under: Neoneuromus ignobilis
Lineage: Eukaryota; Metazoa; Arthropoda; Insecta; Megaloptera; Corydalidae
Also listed under: 3 other names
Description: tRNA-Asn
Source: RNAcentral
UUAAUCGAAACCAAAAAAGAGGUAUAUUACUGUUAAUAAUAUUAUUGAAAUUAUUUUCCGAUUAAA